RNAcentral lists this ribosomal RNA (328 nucleotides) under Epiplatys duboisi. RNAcentral describes it as "partial 12S ribosomal RNA". It matches the Rfam family "Bacterial small subunit ribosomal RNA", at positions 868 to 1360 of the family's 1533-position model. The record is from RNAcentral. Lineage: Eukaryota; Metazoa; Chordata; Actinopteri; Cyprinodontiformes; Nothobranchiidae.
UCCGCCAGGGGACUACGAGCAAAAGCUUAAAACCCAAAGGACUUGGCGGUGCUUUAGACCCACCUAGAGGAGCCUGUUCUAGAACCGAUAAUCCCCGUUAAACCUCACCUUUUCUUGUUAUUUACCGCCUAUAUACCGCCGUCGUCAGCUUACCUUGUAAAAGAACAAAAGUAAACAAAAACGGUUUUUACCUAAAACGUCAGGUCGAGGUGUAGCGAAUGAAGAGGGAAGAAAUGGGCUACAUUUCCUAAUAAAGGAAAUUACGGAAUAUACAAUGAAACAAGUAUAUGAAGGAGGAUUUAGCAGUAAAUGGAAAAUAGAGUGUUCC